GAUGAAGAACGCAGCGAAAUGCGAUACGUAAUGUGAAUUGCAGAAUUCAGUGAAUCAUCGAAUCUUUGAACGCAUAUUGCGCUCUUUGGUAUUCCGAAGAGCAUGCUUGUUUGAGUAUCAGUAAACACCUCAAAGCUUUUGGAUUUUUUAAUCGAAAAGCUUUGGACUUGAGCAAUCCCAACACCAAUCUUUUUGAGAUCGGUGGCGGGUUGCUUGAAAUGCAGGUGCAGCUGGACAUUCUCCUGAGCUAAAAGCAUAUUCAUGUAGUCCCGUAAAACGGAUUAUUACUUUUGCUGCAGCUAACAUAAAGAGAGUUUGACCGUAUUGGCUGACUGAUGCAGGAUUUCACAAGGGUCGGCAACGAUUCUUGUUAAACUCGAUCUCAAAUCAAGUAAGACUACCCGCUGAACUUAAGCAUAUCAAUAAGCGGAGGA
This 434-nucleotide unclassified non-coding RNA is filed under the name soil metagenome. RNAcentral's name for it is "partial contains 5.8S ribosomal RNA, internal transcribed spacer 2, and large subunit ribosomal RNA". The stretch from base 1 to 120 matches the Rfam family "5.8S ribosomal RNA", at positions 35 to 154 of the family's 154-position model. The record is from RNAcentral.